RNAcentral lists this transfer RNA (71 nucleotides) under Plenaster craigi. RNAcentral describes it as "tRNA-Arg". It matches the Rfam family "tRNA". Rfam says of the family: Transfer RNA (tRNA) molecules are approximately 80 nucleotides in length. The record is from RNAcentral. Lineage: Eukaryota; Metazoa; Porifera; Demospongiae; Axinellida; Stelligeridae.
AUGCCUGUGAUUUAAAGGGAAAAUACCUGUCUUCGGAAUAGAAAAUGGGGGUUCGAGUCCUCUCGGGCAUA